This 225-nucleotide ribosomal RNA is filed under the name uncultured bacterium. RNAcentral's name for it is "partial 16S ribosomal RNA". It matches the Rfam family "Bacterial small subunit ribosomal RNA", at positions 524 to 747 of the family's 1533-position model. The record is from RNAcentral.
UACGGAGGGUGCAAGCGUUAUCCGGAUUCACUGGGUUUAAAGGGUGCGUAGGUGGGUUGGUAAGUCAGUGGUGAAAUCUCCAGGCUCAACUUGGAAACUGCCAUUGAUACUAUUAAUCUUGAAUACCUGGAGGUCAGCGGAAUAUGUCAUGUAGCGGUGAAAAUGCUUAGAUAUGACAUAGAACACCAAUUGCGAAAGGCAGCUGGCUACACGAAUAUUGACACU